RNAcentral lists this ribosomal RNA (253 nucleotides) under uncultured bacterium. Its description in RNAcentral is "partial 16S ribosomal RNA". It matches the Rfam family "Bacterial small subunit ribosomal RNA", at positions 524 to 776 of the family's 1533-position model. The record is from RNAcentral.
GACAGAGGAGGCGAGCGUUGUUCGGAAUCAUUGGGCUUAAAGCGCGUGUAGGCGGCUUCGUAAGUGUCUUGUGAAAUCCCGUGGCUCAACCACGGAACUGCUGGGCAUACUGCGAGGCUUGAGGUUGGUAGAGGUGCCUGGAACUCUUGGUGGAGCGGUGAAAUGUGUAGAUAUCAAGAGGAACGCCGGAGGCGAAAGCGGGGCACUGGGCCAAAUCUGACGCUGAGACGCGAAAGCGUGGGGAUCAAACAGG